CAUGUAAUGUGGUAAAACUGGACAUGUCGAUGGUCAUUUAAGACAGUACAUAUGAUGGAUUUAGUACUGUUGACCAAAACAUGUUCGUAUAAAACAAUAUGAUAAUAUAAUAAAAUCAUUUUCUUAAUAUUUCGUCAGCACCAGAAAGAACAAGAUGAAAAAUUUGGGGCUGUUCGCCAUUAUUCUCCUCAUAGCAAGCGCACAGGUUAUAUCUGCUCAGGGUAACUUUGUCCGAGGACUUGUUCUUGGCGGUCUUGGUGGUAUUCUCCUUAACAGAGCAGUUGGAAAUAACAGACGAGGUGGAUUUGGCGGAGGACUUUUUGGAGGUGGACUCGGUGGAGGACUUCUGGGAGGUGGAUUCCGACAACCGUUCCCUGCUUUCAAUUCAGGUUUCCGUAAUUCCAGAGGAUUUUCGCCAUUUUUUUGAAUAAUGUUAUCUGAAGAUGUGCGUUAAGACGACCCAAGUAUAGUCCCGACGGUUUGAACUCUGAUUAUGUGGAAAAGAUGAUUACACCUUUGUUUCUCCAAGGAUCAUUUGUAGACUGUCACAACGUUGUAAAGCAAGUUGAUAUGUUUUCAGGUUUUGCAUAAUAAAAAGAUGAAGCAAUGGCAAA
Mytilus trossulus (common blue mussel) is the source of this 614-nucleotide long non-coding RNA. RefSeq lists it as uncharacterized. The record is from RefSeq and is a predicted model, not a curated record. NCBI's taxonomy places the organism in Eukaryota, Metazoa, Mollusca, Bivalvia, Mytilida, Mytilidae. The transcript is spliced from 3 exons.